RNAcentral lists this ribosomal RNA (492 nucleotides) under uncultured bacterium. Its description in RNAcentral is "partial 16S ribosomal RNA". It matches the Rfam family "Bacterial small subunit ribosomal RNA", at positions 30 to 507 of the family's 1533-position model. The record is from RNAcentral.
AGCGAACGCUGGCGGCAGGCCUAACACAUGCAAGUCGAACGGCAGCACAGUAAGUGCUUGCUCUUACGGGUGGCGAGUGGCGGACGGGUGAGGAAUACAUCGGAAUCUACUUUUUCGUGGGGGAUAACGUAGGGAAAUUUACGCUAAUACAGCAUACGACCUACGGGUGAAGGCCGGGGAUCUUCGGACUUUGCGCGAUGGAAUGAGCCGACGUGGGAUUAGCUAGUUGGCGGGGUAAAGGCCCUCGAAGGCGACCAUCCGUAGCUGGUCUGAGAGGAAGAACAGCCAGCCUGGAGGUGAGGCAGGGUCCAGACACCGACGCGGGGAAACGGUGGAGAAUAUUGGGCGAGGGGGGAAAGCCGGAUCCUGCCAUACGGCGUGGAUGAAGAUGGACUUAGGGUGGGAGAGCGAUGUUGUUGGUAGAGAAGUACAGCACGUUAAUCCGGCACUGUACUGACGGUACCCGAAGAAUAAGCACCGGCUAACUUCGUG